This 403-nucleotide ribosomal RNA is filed under the name uncultured bacterium. RNAcentral describes it as "partial 16S ribosomal RNA". It matches the Rfam family "Bacterial small subunit ribosomal RNA", at positions 28 to 526 of the family's 1533-position model. The record is from RNAcentral.
GACGAACGCUGGCGGCGUGCCUAAUACAUGCAAGUCGAACGCAGUGGGGACGGGUGAGUAACACGUGGGUAACCUCCCAUCAGAGGGGAUAACACUUGGAAACAGGUGCUAAACCGAUACUGAUGGAUGGACCCGCGGUGCAUUAGCUAGUUGGUGAGGUAACGGCUCACCAAGGCCACGAUGCAUAGCCGCCCUGAGAGGGGUGUCGUCCACAUUGGGACUGAGACCCGGCCCAGAUUCCUGCGGGAGGAAGCAGUAGGGAAUCUUCGGCAAUGGACGAAAGUCGGACCGAGCAACUCCGCGUAAGGGAAUAAGGUUUUCGGAUCGUAAGACUCUUGUGUUAGAGAAGCGGUAUCUAACCAGAAAGCCACGGCUAACUACGUGCCAGCAGCCGCGGUAAUAC